RNAcentral lists this transfer RNA (69 nucleotides) under Monetaria caputserpentis. RNAcentral's name for it is "tRNA-Ile". The record is from RNAcentral. Lineage: Eukaryota; Metazoa; Mollusca; Gastropoda; Littorinimorpha; Cypraeidae.
AGCGUUACGCCGGAUGAACGGAAAUCAUUGAUGUUGAUUAAUAUGGGAUGUUACUAUCUCUGACGCUAC